RNAcentral lists this ribosomal RNA (253 nucleotides) under uncultured bacterium. RNAcentral's name for it is "partial 16S ribosomal RNA". It matches the Rfam family "Bacterial small subunit ribosomal RNA", at positions 524 to 776 of the family's 1533-position model. The record is from RNAcentral.
UACGUAGGGCGCAAGCGUUGUCCGGAAUUAUUGGGCGUAAAGAGCUCGUAGGCGGCUUGUCACGUCGAUUGUGAAAGCCCGAGGCUUAACCUCGGGUCUGCAGUCGAUACGGGCAAACUAGAGUAUUGCAGGGGAGACUGGAAUUCCUGGUGUAGCGGUGAAAUGCGCAGAUAUCAGGAGGAACACCGGUGGCGAAGGCGGGUCUCUGGGCAAUAACUGACGCUGAGGAGCGAAAGCGUGGGGAGCGAGCAGG